CGAGUUCUCGAUGUGAUUGCAAAGGUGCUUGCAUCUUGAUUUAAUUUUGAACGAGUGGCGGACGGGUGAGUAACACGUGGGUAACCUGCCCUUAAGUGGGGGAUAACAUUUGGAAACAGAUGCUAAUACCGCAUAAAUCCAAGAACCGCAUGGUUCUUGGCUGAAAGAUGGCGUAAGCUAUCGCUUUUGGAUGGACCCGCGGCGUAUUAGCUAGUUGGUGAGGUAACGGCUCACCAAGGCAAUGAUACGUAGCCGAACUGAGAGGUUGAUCGGCCACAUUGGGACUGAGACACGGCCCAAACUCCUACGGGAGGCAGCAGUAGGGAAUCUUCCACAAUGGACGCAAGUCUGAUGGAGCAACGCCGCGUGAGUGAAGAAGGCUUUCGGGUCGUAAAACUCUGUUGUUGGAGAAGAAUGGUCGGCAGAGUAACUGUUGUCGGCGUGACGGUAUCCAACCAGAAAGCCACGGCUAACUACGUGCCAGCAGCCGCGGUAAUACGUAGGUGGCAAGCGUUAUCCGGAUUUAUUGGGCGUAAAGCGAGCGCAGGCGGUUUUUUAAGUCUGAUGUGAAAGCCCUCGGCUUAACCGAGGAAGUGCAUCGGAAACUGGGAAAACUUGAGUGCAGAAGAGGACAGUGGAACUCCAUGUGUAGCGGUGAAAUGCGUAGAUAUAUGGAAGAACACCAGUGGCGAAGGCGGCUGUCUGGUCUGUAACUGACGCUGAGGCUCGAAAGCAUGGGUAGCGAACAGGAUUAGAUACCCUGGUAGUCCAUGCCGUAAACGAUGAAUGCUAGGUGUUGGAGGGUUUCCGCCCUUCAGUGCCGCAGCUAACGCAUUAAGCAUUCCGCCUGGGGAGUACGACCGCAAGGUUGAAACUCAAAGGAAUUGACGGGGGCCCGCACAAGCGGUGGAGCAUGUGGUUUAAUUCGAAGCAACGCGAAGAACCUUACCAGGUCUUGACAUCUUUUGAUCACCUGAGAGAUCAGGUUUCCCCUUCGGGGGCAAAAUGACAGGUGGUGCAUGGUUGUCGUCAGCUCGUGUCGUGAGAUGUUGGGUUAAGUCCCGCAACGAGCGCAACCCUUAUGACUAGUUGCCAGCAUUUAGUUGGGCACUCUAGUAAGACUGCCGGUGACAAACCGGAGGAAGGUGGGGAUGACGUCAAAUCAUCAUGCCCCUUAUGACCUGGGCUACACACGUGCUACAAUGGAUGGUACAACGAGUUGCGAGACCGCGAGGUCAAGCUAAUCUCUUAAAGCCAUUCUCAGUUCGGACUGUAGGCUGCAACUCGCCUACACGAAGUCGGAAUCGCUAGUAAUCGCGGAUCAGCACGCCGCGGUGAAUACGUUCCCGGGCCUUGUACACACCGCCCGUCACACCAUGAGAGUUUGUAACACCCGAAGCCGGUGGCGUAACCC
This 1414-nucleotide ribosomal RNA is filed under the name Lacticaseibacillus rhamnosus. RNAcentral describes it as "bacterial SSU rRNA". It matches the Rfam family "Bacterial small subunit ribosomal RNA", at positions 63 to 1441 of the family's 1533-position model. Lineage: Bacteria; Bacillati; Bacillota; Bacilli; Lactobacillales; Lactobacillaceae. The record is from RNAcentral.